RNAcentral lists this ribosomal RNA (401 nucleotides) under uncultured bacterium. RNAcentral's name for it is "partial 16S ribosomal RNA". It matches the Rfam family "Bacterial small subunit ribosomal RNA", at positions 338 to 755 of the family's 1533-position model. The record is from RNAcentral.
CCUACGGGCGACAGCAGUAGGGAAUGUUGCGCAAUGGGGGAAACCCUGACGCAGCAACGCCGCGUGAGCGAUGAAGGCCUUCGGGGGGGAAAGAUCUGGCAGUGGGGACGAAACCUGACGGUACCCACAGAGGAAGCACCGGCUAACUCCGUGCCAGCAGCCGCGGGAAUACGGGGGGUGCAAGCGUGGUCCGGAAUCAUUGGGCGUAAUGAGUUCGUAGGUGGCACGUUAAGUCUGGUGUUAAAGGCGGAAGCUCAACUUCCGUAGGGCACUGGAUACUGGCGAGCUGGACUGCGGUAGAGGUAACGGCAAUUCCUGGUGUAGCGGUGUACUGCGUCGAUAUCAGGAGGAACAUCGGUGGCGUACGCGCUUUACUGGGCCGUAAUUGACACUGCGGAACG